Molecule: long non-coding RNA, 598 nt
Filed under: Lathyrus oleraceus (garden pea)
Lineage: Eukaryota; Viridiplantae; Streptophyta; Magnoliopsida; Fabales; Fabaceae
Description: Pisum sativum (pea) long non-coding RNA (PSAT_LNC022293)
Source: RNAcentral
AUGCUCUUUCAUUGAGGACAAAGUAUGUUUUAAGUGUGGAGGAGGGAACCAUUUAUUUGUUUUUUUUCUUUGUUUUGUUUUUAGUUUUUCUCUGUUUUUGAUUAAAAUUUAGAAUAAAUAAAAAAAUUGCAUGCUUUUUCCUUUGGUUUUUGAGUUACAAUUAUGAGUAUUUUUCUUAGUUCUCUUGACUAAAGUCUUGUGGUGUGAUGUGAAAAAUUUGAUGUGCAUUUUUAGUAUGAUAGGUAAUCCUUUGGUUUUUGAGUUACAAUUAUGAGUAUUUUUCUUAGUUCUCUUGACUAAAGUCUUGUGGUGUGAUGUGAAAAAUUUGAUGUGCAUUUUUAGUAUGAUAGGUAGGACUAAACUCUAAAUUGUACAUCAUUUGUGGUAGAUCAAUUAACCUUGUGAGAUUUUGAGCCUUAUAUGGAUAACAUACAAAAAUCCAUUUCUUUCUUUCUUGUGUGAUUCACUCAUGUCUGUUAGUCUCUAGAACUUGAAUUGACUCUUGUUGAUGUUGUUGUUUACUUGUGCACACUGAUAUGAUAAAGACAAUUUUGUUUUUGUUUUUUUAGCCAGUUAUCCAAAAAGCCAACUCUGAAAU